Molecule: ribosomal RNA, 662 nt
Filed under: uncultured bacterium
Lineage: Bacteria
Description: bacterial SSU rRNA
Rfam family: Bacterial small subunit ribosomal RNA
Source: RNAcentral
GAGUUUGAUCCUGGCUCAGGAUGAACGCUGGCGGCGUGCUUAACACAUGCAAGUCGAACGAAGCGCUUAAGAAUGAUUCUUCGGAUGAAGUCUUUUGUGACUUAGUGGCAGACGGGUGAGUAACGCGUGGGUAACCUGCCUCACACAGGGGGAUAACAGUUGGAAACGACCGCUAAUACCGCAUAACCCGCUGGUAUCGCAUGAUACUGACGGAAAAGAUUUAUCGGUGUGAGAUGGACCCGCGUCUGAUUAGCCAGUUGGCAGGGUAACGGCCUACCAAAGCGACGAUCAGUAGCCGGCCUGAGAGGGUGAACGGCCACAUUGGGACUGAGACACGGCCCAAACUCCUACGGGAGGCAGCAGUGGGGAAUAUUGCACAAUGGGGGAAACCCUGAUGCAGCGACGCCGCGUGAGUGAAGAAGUAUUUCGGUAUGUAAAGCUCUAUCAGCAGGGAAGAAAAUGACGGUACCUGACCAAGAAGCCCCGGCUAACUACGUGCCAGCAGCCGCGGUAAUACGUAGGGGGCAAGCGUUAUCCGGAUUUACUGGGUGUAAAGGGAGCGUAGACGGUGAUGCAAGUCAGAAGUGAAAGCCCGGGGCUCAACUCCGGGACUGCUUUUGAAACUGUGUAACUGGAGUGCAGGAGAGGUAAGCGGAAUUCCU